Molecule: ribosomal RNA, 495 nt
Filed under: Hyboserica sp. DA0403
Lineage: Eukaryota; Metazoa; Arthropoda; Insecta; Coleoptera; Scarabaeidae
Description: partial 16S large subunit ribosomal RNA
Rfam family: Bacterial large subunit ribosomal RNA
Source: RNAcentral
UUUAAAGUCUAAUCUGCCCUAUGAGGAGUUAAAUGGCCGCGGUAUUUUGACCGUGCAAAGGUAGCAUAAUAAUUAGUUUUUUAAUUGGAAGCUGGAAUGAAUGAUUGGACGAGAAAAUAGCUGUCUCAGUUUAAUUUUUUUAGAAUUUUAUUUUUAAGUAAAAAAGCUUAAAUUUAUUUAAAAGACGAGAAGACCCCAUAGAGUUUUAUAUUUAUUUAAAUAUUAGUUUUAUAGAAAUGUUAUAUUAUUAUUUGUAUAAUUAUUUUGUUGGGGUGAUAGAAAAAUUUGAAUAACUUUUUUUUUAUUUUAACAUUAAUUAAUGAUUUUUUGAUCCAUUAUUUAUGAUUAUAAGAUUAAAUUACCUUGGGGAUAACAGCGUAAUUUUUUUUUAGAGUUCUAAUCGAAAGAAAAGAUUGCGACCUCGAUGUUGGAUUAAAAUUAACUUUUGGUGUAGGGGCUAAAUGGUUGGGUCUGUUCGACCUUUAAAAUUUUACA